GAUGAACGCUGGCGGCGUGCCUAACACAUGCAAGUCGAGCGAAGCGCUUAAAUUAGAUUUCUUCGGAAUUGCGAGUUUUGUGACUGAGCGGCGGACGGGUGAGUACCGCGUUGGUAACCUGCCUCGUACAGGGGGGUAACAGCUAGAAAUUAUUGUUAAUACCGCAUAAGACCCCAUCUUCGCAUUAAGCGCUGGUAAAAAGGCGUGUGGUAUGAGAUGUACCGGCGUCUGUUUAGCUAGUUGGUAAGGUAACGGCUUACCAAGGCUGCGAUCGGUAGCCGGCGUGAGAGGGUGACCGGCCACAGUGGGAGUGAGAGCCGGCCCAGACUCGUACGGGAGGAAGCAGUGGGGAAUAAUGCAGGAUCGGGGAACCGAUGCAGCAGCGACGCGGGGAGAAGGAAGAAGUAUUUCGGGAAGUGAACUUCCAUCAGCAGGGAAGAAAGUGACGGUACCUGAAGAAGAAGCCACGGCUAACUACGUG
Molecule: ribosomal RNA, 481 nt
Filed under: uncultured bacterium
Lineage: Bacteria
Description: partial 16S ribosomal RNA
Rfam family: Bacterial small subunit ribosomal RNA
Source: RNAcentral